RNA transcript from Olea europaea var. sylvestris, 686 nucleotides. RefSeq lists it as uncharacterized. The transcript is spliced from 4 exons. The record is from RefSeq and is a predicted model, not a curated record. NCBI's taxonomy places the organism in Eukaryota, Viridiplantae, Streptophyta, Magnoliopsida, Lamiales, Oleaceae.
AAAGGUUAACCUUGGACUUCAAAAAAGAUUUAUCUCCAAAACCCUAAAUUCUCCCAAAUUUGCAGACGACGCUAACAGCAACAACAGGAUAAUGGCUUGGCGUGGUUCGCUUUCCAGAUCUCUCAUGUACACCGUGAGGGCUUCGACCUUCCGCUCUUCUCCGCCACUUGCUGCCGGCCGUCUCCGUCCUCCCCCCGUAUCCGCCCCUCGCCGUUUCUCCUUCUCCAAUCCCAGGACCUUGGGGGAGCUGGGAUGCGUGCAGUCACUGAUGCCUCUGCACAACAUGGCUGGAGUUAGGCUGACAUCUCAUUUGGCAACCAAUGUUCGAGCUUGCUGCGAGCUGUCCCAUGGUACCUUCUGCCGUUCUUGUCAGGAUCGUUAGUAGUUUCUUUGGAGGACAGGGAAAGAUGGGUGAGGUCAGCAGCGCUUCCCAACACUCAAUUGCAGGACCUGAUGCCACAUUGUAGGUGCUUGAACAUGUAGAUGGACCAGCACCACCAGGUGUCUGAAGAUCUGAGGUCUCUGCAUGUAGGUCUAUUCGAUGGGAACAUCCCGUUCGGACAGGGAAAAAUGUAAUAAUGCUUUAUUAUAUUGUCAUAGGCAAGACUUGAAAUCGUUCUCAUAUUUGAGCCAUUUUUGAAAUCUACAUUUUUACCUUCAUAUAUCGAGUUCAAUUUGUGUUGAUA